CGUUUUUAAAUAGAGAAAUAGGUUACCAGUAUAGUAAUACUCGCAGCGUAUAUAUAAUACAUUUUAGAUUACCAGAACUUGUGAAAUGCAUGAAAGUAUGUUAUUGCGCACAGCGAUUUCCUUUUCUCCUGUCAAUCAAAAGUAGCAAGUCAUUCGUUGUAAACAUUACUUAUAAUCAUGAGCAAAACUGGAAAAAAUGGUCUUAAAAUAAACAGUGAAAAUAACAACUUCACAACACCACCCCAAAAAUAAAAACAAACAAAAACAAAAACAAAAACAACUGUUUAUGAUAACAACACUUCAUAAUAAAUGAAAAAAAAACACAGUGUAACUUCUGUAAUGUGAAAUAAUAAAGGC
This 357-nucleotide long non-coding RNA is filed under the name Mytilus galloprovincialis (Mediterranean mussel). Lineage: Eukaryota; Metazoa; Mollusca; Bivalvia; Mytilida; Mytilidae. The record is from RNAcentral.